Molecule: long non-coding RNA, 321 nt
Filed under: Salvia miltiorrhiza (redroot sage)
Lineage: Eukaryota; Viridiplantae; Streptophyta; Magnoliopsida; Lamiales; Lamiaceae
Description: long non-coding RNA (SMIL_LNC009799)
Source: RNAcentral
AAUAUUUUUGAGAUAUUAGAAAUGACAUAAAUGUAUAAAAUAGAAAAAUAAUAAUAUGCAUGUGACCUAAAUGAAAGUGAUACUCACACAUAGUACUUACAUAAAAUAUGUAGCAAAACAUUCUUAUUGAAUCAUAAAACAACAUUAUAUACUAACUAAAAAAAUGACAAAUUGGGCCGAACCAUAUCACAGUUAUGGGCCAAGGCCGCAUCAGGAAAUUCAUUUAGAAUCUGAUUAUUCUCAGCCACCCAUAUUAAUUUAGUAGACCUUUUACCCUUACAUCUCAUAUUCUCAUAACAAUUUAAUACCUCAUACCAAAAC